CCCUUAGAUGUUCUGGGCUGCACGCGCGCUACACUGAAGCUAUCAACACGUUUUCCCUCCCUGAGAAGGGCGGGUAACCUUUUGAAUCAGCUUCGUGGUAGGGAUCGGGGCUUGCAAUUGUUCCCCGUGAACCAGGAAUUCCUAGUAGACGCGAGUCAUAAGCUCGCAUCGAUUAAGUCCCUGCCCUUUGUACACACCGCCCGUCGCUACUACCGAUUGAACGUUUUAGUGAGGCAUUUGGACCGACGCAUCUCAGUUUAACCGCUGGUUUGUGUUGGAAAGACUUCCAAACUUGAGCGUUUAGAGGAAGUAUAAGUCGUAACA
RNAcentral lists this ribosomal RNA (324 nucleotides) under uncultured eukaryote. RNAcentral describes it as "partial 18S ribosomal RNA". It matches the Rfam family "Eukaryotic small subunit ribosomal RNA", at positions 1470 to 1796 of the family's 1831-position model. The record is from RNAcentral.